GGUGAGGUGUCCGAGUGGCUGAAGGAGCACGCCUGGAAAGUGUGUAAACGUUUAUAGCGUUUCGAGGGUUCGAAUCCCUCUCUCGCCA
Molecule: transfer RNA, 88 nt
Filed under: Acinetobacter haemolyticus
Lineage: Bacteria; Pseudomonadati; Pseudomonadota; Gammaproteobacteria; Moraxellales; Moraxellaceae
Also listed under: 1 other name
Description: tRNA-Ser
Rfam family: tRNA
About the family: Transfer RNA (tRNA) molecules are approximately 80 nucleotides in length.
Source: RNAcentral